GAUGCGACCUCAGCUCAGGCGGGGCCACCCGCUGAGUUUAAGCAUAUCAAUAAGCGGAGGAAAGA
RNAcentral lists this ribosomal RNA (65 nucleotides) under Gilbertiodendron brachystegioides. Its description in RNAcentral is "partial 26S ribosomal RNA". Lineage: Eukaryota; Viridiplantae; Streptophyta; Magnoliopsida; Fabales; Fabaceae. The record is from RNAcentral.